This 414-nucleotide ribosomal RNA is filed under the name uncultured bacterium. RNAcentral describes it as "bacterial SSU rRNA". It matches the Rfam family "Bacterial small subunit ribosomal RNA", at positions 945 to 1359 of the family's 1533-position model. The record is from RNAcentral.
UUUAAUUCGAUGCAACGCGAAGAACCUUACCUGGUCUUGACAUCCACGGAAGUUUUCAGAGAUGAGAAUGUGCCUUCGGGAACCGUGAGACAGGUGCUGCAUGGCUGUCGUCAGCUCGUGUUGUGAAAUGUUGGGUUAAGUCCCGCAACGAGCGCAACCCUUAUCCUUUGUUGCCAGCGGUCCGGCCGGGAACUCAAAGGAGACUGCCAGUGAUAAACUGGAGGAAGGUGGGGAUGACGUCAAGUCGUCAUGGCCCUUACGACCAGGGCUACACACGUGCUACAAUGGCGCAUACAAAGAGAAGCGACCUCGCGAGAGCAAGCGGACCUCAUAAAGUGCGUCGUAGUCCGGAUUGGAGUCUGCAACUCGACUCCAUGAAGUCGGAAUCGCUAGUAAUCGUGGAUCAGAAUGCCA